Molecule: transfer RNA, 64 nt
Filed under: Ictidomys tridecemlineatus (thirteen-lined ground squirrel)
Lineage: Eukaryota; Metazoa; Chordata; Mammalia; Rodentia; Sciuridae
Also listed under: 1 other name
Description: Spermophilus tridecemlineatus (thirteen-lined ground squirrel) tRNA
Rfam family: tRNA
About the family: Transfer RNA (tRNA) molecules are approximately 80 nucleotides in length.
Source: Rfam by way of RNAcentral
GGGGCUGUAGCUCAGCGGCAGAGCACUUGCCUAGCAAGUGCCCUGGGUUCAAUCCUCAGCACCA